ACCUGCGGAGGGAUCAUUACUGAGUGAGGGCCUUCGGGCUCGACCUCCAACCCUUUGUGAACACAACUUGUUGCUUCGGGGGCGACCCUGCCGUUUCGACGGCGAGCGCCCCCGGAGGCCUUCAAACACUGCAUCUUUGCGUCGGAGUUUAAGUAAAUUAAACAAAACUUUCAACAACGGAUCUCUUGGUUCUGGCAUCGAUGAAGAACGCAGCGAAAUGCGAUAAGUAAUGUGAAUUGCAGAAUUCAGUGAAUCAUCGAAUCUUUGAACGCACAUUGCGCCCCUUGGUAUUCCGAGGGGCAUGCCUGUUCGAGCGUCAUUUCACCACUCAAGCCUCGCUUGGUAUUGGGCGCCGCGGUGUUCCGCGCGCCUCAAAGUCUCCGGCUGAGCUGUCCGUCUCUAAGCGUUGUGAUUUCAUUAAUCGCUUCGGAGCGCGGGCGGUCGCGGCCGUUAAAUCUUUCACAAGGUUGACCUCGGAUCAGGUAGGGAUACCCGCUGAACUUAAGCAUAUCAAAA
RNAcentral lists this ribosomal RNA (516 nucleotides) under Cercospora sp. CMON11. Its description in RNAcentral is "eukaryotic LSU rRNA". The stretch from base 166 to 319 matches the Rfam family "5.8S ribosomal RNA". The record is from RNAcentral. Lineage: Eukaryota; Fungi; Ascomycota; Dothideomycetes; Mycosphaerellales; Mycosphaerellaceae.